AUGGAUUACACGAUCGCAAGGUCUGGGAAGUCAGAGCUUUGCAUUGUUCGUCUCGUUGGCUGCAGCAUGCAGCAAUGGUCCUGUGACAUGGCUGGCCAAGACAAGAACUGGAUCUUGCGCAGUACAUACAACCUACGGCUGUUGUUCGAUUGCCAUAUUCCGGCAUCAUUUUGGGAAAGCAGGGGCCAUGGGGGUGAAUCUUCUGCUGGGGAUCCUGUUUCUUACAGCAUGAAGAUUAGAGCUGCUGGAGAGAACUUUGCAUACGCAAUAAUCACGUUUGACUUUUGCCCAUGGAUAUACAUGAUUGAUACAGACAAAAAGAAGGUUGUUAAACUCAUCAACUCGUUCAACCCGGUGUCCGUGUUGUCCGUGACCACGGUCUGCAUGCCAUGGCCCAAAACAUUCCCCCGUGAGUAG
This 417-nucleotide ribosomal RNA is filed under the name Triticum aestivum (bread wheat). RNAcentral describes it as "partial small subunit ribosomal RNA". Lineage: Eukaryota; Viridiplantae; Streptophyta; Magnoliopsida; Poales; Poaceae. The record is from RNAcentral.